GUGAGGAAUUUUGCGCAAUGGGGGAAACCCUGACGCAGCAACGCCGCGUGAGUGAUGAAGGCUUUCGAGUCGUAAAGCUCUGUCAAGUGGGAAGAAUCUAAAAUAGGAUAAUACCCUAUUUUACUGACGGUACCACUGAAGGAAGCACCGGCUAACUCCGUGCCAGCAGCCGCGGUAAUACGGAGGGUGCAAGCGUUAUUCGGAAUUAUUGGGCGUAAAGGGCGCGUAGGCGGCCUUUUAAGUCAGAUGUGAAAGCCCGGGGCUUAACCCCGGAAGUGCAUUUGAAACUAAGAGGCUUGAGUAUGGGAGAGGGAAGUGGAAUUCCUGGUGUAGAGGUGAAAUUCGUAGAUAUCAGGAGGAACACCGGUGGCGAAGGCGACUUCCUGGACCAAUACUGACGCUGAGGCGCGAAGGCGUGGGGAGCAAACAGGAUUAGAAACCCGGGUAGUCC
RNAcentral lists this ribosomal RNA (451 nucleotides) under uncultured bacterium. RNAcentral's name for it is "bacterial SSU rRNA". It matches the Rfam family "Bacterial small subunit ribosomal RNA", at positions 354 to 796 of the family's 1533-position model. The record is from RNAcentral.